GUGAGUCAUCGAAUCUUUGAACGCACAUUGCGCCCACCAGCAUUCUGAUGGGCAUGCCUGUUCGAGCGUCAUUUCAACCCUCUGGCUCCGGCCGGGUGUUGGGGUCCCUGCGGCACCGCAGACCCCGAAAGCCAGUGGCGGGCUCCGCACGACCCCGAGCUUAGUACACAAUCUCCUCGCUCCAGGGCGUCUGGCGGGCGACCCAGCCGUUAAACGCGCUGCACGGCAGCACCUUAUAGUUGACCUCGGAUCAGGUAGGAAUACCCGCUGAACUUAAGCAUAUCAAUAAGCGGAGGA
This 297-nucleotide unclassified non-coding RNA is filed under the name Floropilus sp. RNAcentral's name for it is "partial contains 5.8S ribosomal RNA, internal transcribed spacer 2, and large subunit ribosomal RNA". The stretch from base 241 to 297 matches the Rfam family "Eukaryotic large subunit ribosomal RNA", at positions 1 to 57 of the family's 3401-position model. The record is from RNAcentral. Lineage: Eukaryota; Fungi; Ascomycota; Sordariomycetes; Sordariales; Chaetomiaceae.